This 781-nucleotide ribosomal RNA is filed under the name Streptomyces sp. RNAcentral's name for it is "bacterial SSU rRNA". It matches the Rfam family "Bacterial small subunit ribosomal RNA", at positions 51 to 847 of the family's 1533-position model. Lineage: Bacteria; Bacillati; Actinomycetota; Actinomycetes; Kitasatosporales; Streptomycetaceae. The record is from RNAcentral.
UAACAUGCAAGUCGAACGAUGAACCACUUCGGUGGGGAUUAGUGGCGAACGGGUGAGUAACACGUGGGCAAUCUGCCCUUCACUCUGGGACAAGCCCUGGAAACGGGGUCUAAUACCGGAUAUCACUCCCGCAGGCAUCUGUGGGGGUCGAAAGCUCCGGCGGUGAAGGAUGAGCCCGCGGCCUAUCAGCUUGUUGGUGAGGUAAUGGCUCACCAAGGCGACGACGGGUAGCCGGCCUGAGAGGGCGACCGGCCACACUGGGACUGAGACACGGCCCAGACUCCUACGGGAGGCAGCAGUGGGGAAUAUUGCACAAUGGGCGAAAGCCUGAUGCAGCGACGCCGCGUGAGGGAUGACGGCCUUCGGGUUGUAAACCUCUUUCAGCAGGGAAGAAGCGAAAGUGACGGUACCUGCAGAAGAAGCGCCGGCUAACUACGUGCCAGCAGCCGCGGUAAUACGUAGGGCGCAAGCGUUGUCCGGAAUUAUUGGGCGUAAAGAGCUCGUAGGCGGCUUGUCACGUCGGGUGUGAAAGCCCGGGGCUUAACCCCGGGUCUGCAUUCGAUACGGGCUAGCUAGAGUGUGGUAGGGGAGAUCGGAAUUCCUGGUGUAGCGGUGAAAUGCGCAGAUAUCAGGAGGAACACCGGUGGCGAAGGCGGAUCUCUGGGCCAUUACUGACGCUGAGGAGCGAAAGCGUGGGGAGCGAACAGGAUUAGAUACCCUGGUAGUCCACGCCGUAAACGGUGGGAACUAGGUGUUGGCGACAUUCCACGUCGUCGGUGCC